AAAUGCGUUACUUUUCAUGACUUGCAAACUUCAUGAAUGAAAAGACUUCGAAUGCAAAUUGCGCCGAUGGUUUUUAACCAUUGGCACAUUUGUUUGAGAAUCAUAUAUAAUAUAUACUGAUUUCUUUUUGGAAUUAGUGAUAUUUGAAAGGUUUUUUAUGCCUUUUGUACAUGGAGGACUUGGAGUUUUGAGAAUUUCCGUUGUUGGAAACUCUGAUAGCCUUGUCCUUUCAUAACCUUAUCUCAAAGGGGGAAUUUGAUCGCGUCUGUACAAGACGGCUUUCUUUUUAUGGUUUUUCUCUUUUAUGAAAAGCUUGAAUCGACAAUUUUAUAUAUAUUGUUGAGAUAAAAGUUUUUUCAUAUUUUUUUGAGUUGACAUAAAAUUAAAGCUCUUCUGUGCGUUCAAAUUUCAUCAUUUUUAUGAUCUCAAAUCAAGUGUGACUACCCGCUGAACUUAAGC
RNAcentral lists this unclassified non-coding RNA (459 nucleotides) under plant metagenome. Its description in RNAcentral is "partial contains 5.8S ribosomal RNA, internal transcribed spacer 2, and large subunit ribosomal RNA". The stretch from base 1 to 103 matches the Rfam family "5.8S ribosomal RNA", at positions 51 to 154 of the family's 154-position model. The record is from RNAcentral.